RNAcentral lists this ribosomal RNA (253 nucleotides) under uncultured bacterium. RNAcentral describes it as "partial 16S ribosomal RNA". It matches the Rfam family "Bacterial small subunit ribosomal RNA", at positions 524 to 776 of the family's 1533-position model. The record is from RNAcentral.
UACGUAGGGUGCGAGCGUUAAUCGGAAUUACUGGGCGUAAAGCGUGCGCAGGCGGUUGUGCAAGACAGUUGUGAAAUCCCCGGGCUCAACCUGGGAAUUGCAUCUGUGACUGCACGGCUAGAGUACGGUAGAGGGGGAUGGAAUUCCGCGUGUAGCAGUGAAAUGCGUAGAUAUGCGGAGGAACACCGAUAGCGAAGGCAAUCCCCUGGACCUGUACUGACGCUCAUGCACGAAAGCGUGGGGAGCAAACAGG